Long non-coding RNA from Microtus oregoni (creeping vole), 1200 nucleotides. RefSeq lists it as uncharacterized. NCBI's taxonomy places the organism in Eukaryota, Metazoa, Chordata, Mammalia, Rodentia, Cricetidae. The transcript has 3 exons. The record is from RefSeq and is a predicted model, not a curated record.
AGCUCAUGUCCCCCGAAGCCUUGCUCCAAUUCUGUGUGUUGUAGACUGCUGUUUUUCAGUUUUUCACCGUUAUUACUUUGACAAGGUUCCAGGAGCUUGUUAUGGUCUCCUACCUUAUCUCUACGUGACUAAGGUGGGUCAAGAUAAAGGUCUGGAGUGGAAUCAGCUGGGCUGAAAGUUCUAAAUGGAACUUUGGUGGGGAAGUGUUCCAUGUCAGAACCAGGGGAGCUCUCAAAAUUUGAAGCAGAUGAGGCAGAAGGUCUCAUGGCAGAAUGGAGGAAUUUAUUGACACCACACCUUUUUGCCCUGGGCCCAUAUAUUUCUUUGAUCAGUUAAAACCUAAAGUAAGAAGAUGGAGAAAGGAAACACAGAAAGACCCAUUCUUGGACCCAAAGGAGAAGGAUGAGUAAAACAUUUGGAAUUCCUCUUCAUCUUCUGCUAUUACUUUACAUUUGCAAAGGCUUACCAUGCUACACUGAACACCCGGGUUUCCCCUUGCUCGCUUCCCCUGAAAACUACACCAAGGAAUCACCACUACAGAUCCCACCGCGACUGCACUCAAUGGCUGACUUAAGCGUGUUCCUCACACUCGCCAGUCACUGCCUUCUUCACGAUUUUGCAGCAAACCCUAUUCCUGCCUUAGGGAGUCUGCCCUAGAUGUCACCUCCGCUUUCUGCAUGGCUCCCCCACCCCCUAUUCCCUUAGACUCUUCACUUGAAAAGCACCUUUGUGAUGAGACUCGCUCUAAUUUAGAUUGCUGUUCUCUUCCUAACUUGGCACUCUGUGCCUCACUUCCUACCCUCAUUUUUCUGUUGUUUUCUGGCAUUGUAAUUGAUAUUUGUAGGUCAGGCUGGCUUCAGACCCACAGAGAUCUGCCUGCCUCUGUCCAGCAAGUUCUGGGGUUAGAGACACGUGACACCACACUCGUAACUGGUUAUCCUUUUCCCUCUCAAUUGCACUUUCAGAAAAAAAAAAUUAAAAAAAUAUGCUUAAUAAAGACUUGUUGUAAUUGACAACCAUGGAAUCUGUCAAGCUCGGAACUAGACACUUUGUCUUUUAACCCCCUACACACUGUAAUUUUCUUUUUUGUAAAACGGAAAUACAAUCACUCUUAUCUGCAUUUUUCCAGUGUUGAAGAUCUAGUCCAGAACCUGGAGUAUCUCAGGCGAGUGUUUGUUCUAAAAGUCACACCCUCAACCC